RNAcentral lists this ribosomal RNA (194 nucleotides) under uncultured Trichococcus sp. RNAcentral's name for it is "partial 16S ribosomal RNA". It matches the Rfam family "Bacterial small subunit ribosomal RNA", at positions 338 to 525 of the family's 1533-position model. Lineage: Bacteria; Bacillati; Bacillota; Bacilli; Lactobacillales; Carnobacteriaceae. The record is from RNAcentral.
CCUACGGGAGGCAGCAGUAGGGAAUCUUCCGCAAUGGACGAAAGUCUGACGGAGCAACGCCGCGUGAGUGAAGAAGGUUUUCGGAUCGUAAAACUCUGUUGUCAGAGAAGAACAAGUUGGAGAGUAACUGCUCCAGCCUUGACGGUAUCUACCAGAAAGCCACGGCUAACUACGUGCCAGCAGCCGCGGUAAUU